GACGAACGCUGGCGGCGUGCUUAACACAUGCAAGUCGAACGGAAAGGCCCUGCUUUUGUGGGGUGCUCGAGUGGCGAACGGGUGAGUAACACGUGAGUAACCUGCCCUUGACUUUGGGAUAACUUCAGGAAACUGGGGCUAAUACCGGAUAGGAGCUCCUGCUGCAUGGUGGGGGUUGGAAAGUUUCGGCGGUUGGGGAUGGACUCGCGGCUUAUCAGCUUGUUGGUGGGGUAGUGGCUUACCAAGGCUUUGACGGGUAGCCGGCCUGAGAGGGUGACCGGCCACAUUGGGACUGAGAUACGGCCCAGACUCCUACGGGAGGCAGCAGUGGGGAAUAUUGCACAAUGGGCGGAAGCCUGAUGCAGCAACGCCGCGUGCGGGAUGACGGCCUUCGGGUUGUAAACCGCUUUCGCCUGUGACGAAGCGUGAGUGACGGUAAUGGGUAAAGAAGCACCGGCUAACUACGUGCCAGCAGCCGCGGUGAUACGUAGGGUGCGAGCGUUGUCCGGAUUUAUUGGGCGUAAAGGGCUCGUAGGUGGUUGAUCGCGUCGGAAGUGUAAUCUUGGGGCUUAACCCUGAGCGUGCUUUCGAUACGGGUUGACUUGAGGAAGGUAGGGGAGAAUGGAAUUCCUGGUGGAGCGGUGGAAUGCGCAGAUAUCAGGAGGAACACCAGUGGCGAAGGCGGUUCUCUGGGCCUUUCCUGACGCUGAGGAGGGAAAGCGUGGGGAGCGAACAGGCUUAGAUACCCUGGUAGUCCACGCUGUAAACGGUGGGUACUAGGUGUGGGGUCCAUUCCACGGGUUCCGUGCCGUAGCUAACGCUUUAAGUACCCCGCCUGGGGAGUACGGCCGCAAGGCUAAAACUCAAAGGAAUUGACGGGGCCCCGCACAAGCGGCGGAGCAUGCGGAUUAAUUCGAUGCAACGCGUAGAACCUUACCUGGGUUUGACAUGGAUCGGGAGUGCUCAGAGAUGGGUGUGCCUCUUUUGGGGUCGGUUCACAGGUGGUGCAUGGCUGUCGUCAGCUCGUGUCGUGAGAUGUUGGGUUAAGUCCCGCAACGAGCGCAACCCUUGUUCACUGUUGCCAGCACGUUAUGGUGGGGACUCAGUGGAGACCGCCGGGGUCAACUCGGAGGAAGGUGGGGAUGACGUCAAGUCAUCAUGCCCCUUAUGUCCAGGGCUUCACGCAUGCUACAAUGGCUGGUACAGAGAGUGGCGAGCCUGUGAGGGUGAGCGAAUCUCGGAAAGCCGGUCUCAGUUCGGAUUGGGGUCUGCAACUCGACCUCAUGAAGUCGGAGUCGCUAGUAAUCGCAGAUCAGCAACGCUGCGGUGAAUACGUUCCCGGG
This 1343-nucleotide ribosomal RNA is filed under the name uncultured bacterium. Its description in RNAcentral is "16S ribosomal RNA". It matches the Rfam family "Bacterial small subunit ribosomal RNA", at positions 28 to 1378 of the family's 1533-position model. The record is from RNAcentral.